This 497-nucleotide ribosomal RNA is filed under the name uncultured bacterium. Its description in RNAcentral is "partial 16S ribosomal RNA". It matches the Rfam family "Bacterial small subunit ribosomal RNA", at positions 28 to 507 of the family's 1533-position model. The record is from RNAcentral.
GAUGAACGCUGGCGGCGUGCCUAAUACAUGCAAGUCGAGCGAACAGACGAGGAGCUUUCUCCUCUGACGUUAGCGGCGGACGGGUGAGUAACACGUGGAUAACCUACCUAUAAGACUGGGAUAACUUCGUGAAACCGGAGCUAAUACCGGAUUAUAUAUUGAACCGCAUGGUUCAAUAGUGAAAGACGGUUUUGCUGUCACUUAUAGACGGAUCCGCGCCGCAUUAGCUAGUUUGUAAGGUAACGGCUUACCAAGGCAACGAUGCGUAGCCGACCUGAGAGGGUAAGCGUCCACCGUAGAACUUAGAAACGGUGCUGACGCCUACAAGAGGUGGCAGUAGGGAUUCUUCCCGAAUGGGCGGAAGCCGAAUCGUGCAACGCCGCGUGAGUGAUGAAGUUCUUCGCAUCGUAAAACUCUGUUAUUAGGUAAGAACAAAUGUGUAAGUAACUACGCACGUCUUGACGUUACCUAACCAGAAGGCCACGGCUAACUACGUG